RNAcentral lists this ribosomal RNA (1423 nucleotides) under Escherichia coli. Its description in RNAcentral is "partial 23S ribosomal RNA". It matches the Rfam family "Bacterial large subunit ribosomal RNA", at positions 1291 to 2699 of the family's 2925-position model. Lineage: Bacteria; Pseudomonadati; Pseudomonadota; Gammaproteobacteria; Enterobacterales; Enterobacteriaceae. The record is from RNAcentral.
CGAAUGCUGACAUAAGUAACGAUAAAGCGGGUGAAAAGCCCGCUCGCCGGAAGACCAAGGGUUCCUGUCCAACGUUAAUCGGGGCAGGGUGAGUCGACCCCUAAGGCGAGGCCGAAAGGCGUAGUCGAUGGGAAACAGGUUAAUAUUCCUGUACUUGGUGUUACUGCGAAGGGGGGACGGAGAAGGCUAUGUUGGCCGGGCGACGGUUGUCCCGGUUUAAGCGUGUAGGCUGGUUUUCCAGGCAAAUCCGGAAAAUCAAGGCUGAGGCGUGAUGACGAGGCACUACGGUGCUGAAGCAACAAAUGCCCUGCUUCCAGGAAAAGCCUCUAAGCAUCAGGUAACAUCAAAUCGUACCCCAAACCGACACAGGUGGUCAGGUAGAGAAUACCAAGGCGCUUGAGAGAACUCGGGUGAAGGAACUAGGCAAAAUGGUGCCGUAACUUCGGGAGAAGGCACGCUGAUAUGUAGGUGAAGUCCCUCGCGGAUGGAGCUGAAAUCAGUCGAAGAUACCAGCUGGCUGCAACUGUUUAUUAAAAACACAGCACUGUGCAAACACGAAAGUGGACGUAUACGGUGUGACGCCUGCCCGGUGCCGGAAGGUUAAUUGAUGGGGUCAGCGCAAGCGAAGCUCUUGAUCGAAGCCCCGGUAAACGGCGGCCGUAACUAUAACGGUCCUAAGGUAGCGAAAUUCCUUGUCGGGUAAGUUCCGACCUGCACGAAUGGCGUAAUGAUGGCCAGGCUGUCUCCACCCGAGACUCAGUGAAAUUGAACUCGCUGUGAAGAUGCAGUGUACCCGCGGCAAGACGGAAAGACCCCGUGAACCUUUACUAUAGCUUGACACUGAACAUUGAGCCUUGAUGUGUAGGAUAGGUGGGAGGCUUAGAAGUGUGGACGCCAGUCUGCAUGGAGCCGACCUUGAAAUACCACCCUUUAAUGUUUGAUGUUCUAACGUGGACCCGUGAUCCGGGUUGCGGACAGUGUCUGGUGGGUAGUUUGACUGGGGCGGUCUCCUCCUAAAGAGUAACGGAGGAGCACGAAGGUUGGCUAAUCCUGGUCGGACAUCAGGAGGUUAGUGCAAUGGCAUAAGCCAGCUUGACUGCGAGCGUGACGGCGCGAGCAGGUGCGAAAGCAGGUCAUAGUGAUCCGGUGGUUCUGAAUGGAAGGGCCAUCGCUCAACGGAUAAAAGGUACUCCGGGGAUAACAGGCUGAUACCGCCCAAGAGUUCAUAUCGACGGCGGUGUUUGGCACCUCGAUGUCGGCUCAUCACAUCCUGGGGCUGAAGUAGGUCCCAAGGGUAUGGCUGUUCGCCAUUUAAAGUGGUACGCGAGCUGGGUUUAGAACGUCGUGAGACAGUUCGGUCCCUAUCUGCCGUGGGCGCUGGAGAACUGAGGGGGGCUGCUCCUAGUACGAGAGGACCGGAGUG